AUAUCUUUCUGUACGGGAAGGAUGAGAAGCUUCGACUAAGGUUCGAUUCGAGCGCAGCGAGAAAGCGUUGCCGUAGGCAACGACCCGAAGGGCGAAGCGCG
RNAcentral lists this small RNA (101 nucleotides) under Salmonella enterica. RNAcentral's name for it is "partial RtT sRNA". It matches the Rfam family "RtT RNA", at positions 1 to 100 of the family's 130-position model. Rfam says of the family: This family represents a bacterial cis-regulatory element known as RtT RNA. The exact function of RtT is unknown although it is thought that it may be involved in changing the cellular response in relation to amino acid starvation. Lineage: Bacteria; Pseudomonadati; Pseudomonadota; Gammaproteobacteria; Enterobacterales; Enterobacteriaceae. The record is from RNAcentral.